Molecule: long non-coding RNA, 1108 nt
Filed under: Citrus x clementina
Lineage: Eukaryota; Viridiplantae; Streptophyta; Magnoliopsida; Sapindales; Rutaceae
Description: Citrus clementina (C. clementina) long non-coding RNA (CCLE_LNC005520)
Source: RNAcentral
UUAAGCUGGCAUAAUUAAAACAAUUUGCUUGAAGUCUGCUAAAGGUUGAGCCGCCCCUAUUAAUAACGAAAUGCCAUGAAGAAUGAAACAUGACACGAAAUCGGCAUUAUUGAACUCAUCGCGUUCUCUAGUUAAAUUAGCUCUAUCCUAUCCAGACUGUAGACGCCGUGGCUUUAAAGUCAAUUGUGAUGAGAAGAACUGUACAAGUGGGUGACUGACAUUAACAGGUCGCGCAUAUGGGGUCGCAAUUAGGGUAAUUUUUAAAAAUUUCUUUUGAGGUUUGGAUUUGUUGCAAGUAGAUAGUAAAAAUCUAUUUAUUUAUAAAAAAUCUCAUACCGUCAAUUAAUUUUAACAUUGACCGUUAGUUGACUGUGCAAAGACAAUAUUACCCUUAAUAAUAGUUUAUAGACUGACUAAAAAAAAUUAAAAUUAUUAACGCGAAAAGCACAAAUCUUAUUUUUUGAUAAUUUUAUCCUUGUCAAUUCCAAAGAUUUACAAUAUCAUAGGUAAAGAUUAUGACUAUUUCAUUUUCAAGUUUUUAAUUUUAUCUUUUUUGUAAGAACUUUAAGGAAAUAUCAAUAAUUUAAAGAUGAUUUUUUAAGUUUUUAAUUUUAUCUUUUUUAUAAGAACUUUAAGAAAAUAUCAAUAAUUUAAAAAGGGUAAAAUAACCAAUAAUUUUAGUUUUUUUUUAGUUAUUUUUGUCUGUAAACUAUUAUUAAGGGUAAUAUUAUCUUUGCACAGUUAACUAACGGUCAAUGUUAAAAUUAACUGAUGGUAAGAGAUUUUUUACAAAUAAAUAAAUUUUUACUAUCUACUUAUAGUAAGUCCAAAACUCAAAAGGAAGUUUUAAAAAUUACCCGUCGCAAUUAUCAUGACAGGGUGGCUUCAUCCCCAAUUCACGGCUUGGAUUGAAUCUUGCCUCUUAAAAUCAUCGCAUUGUAAAGACGACAUUUUCCGUACUACUAGUGUCCAAUAACAAGUGGUGACUAUGGGUCCAACACUGAUGAAAGAGUUACAGAGACAUUGUGCCAUGUUUUAAAACGAACAACUACUAGUUAUUAAUACGCGCGUAAAUCAAUUGGUAAAAGAUUAUUUUAAUUUAAUUAAA